Molecule: long non-coding RNA, 825 nt
Organism: Sitophilus oryzae (rice weevil)
Lineage: Eukaryota; Metazoa; Arthropoda; Insecta; Coleoptera; Curculionidae
Exons: 5
Source: RefSeq, a predicted model, not a curated record
AUAUCUAUUAAUAAAUAGUCAUGUUCAUCCCUAAUACACGUGAUCAAAAACCGUUACAAACAUAUCACACCGAUUUUGCGCAAUUAUUCUAUUAGCAGCGCGCCAUUUCACUAAUGCCCCGAUUGUUUAAAGCGUCACCCCUAAUUAGCUCCCAAGAUUUUUGGAUUUUUCCCGUAUUUCCUGGGUUUUUCCUCAAAAUUUUACUGUUACUUUACGAUAUAAGUGCUCCGCUAUCACUGGAAGUAUUUUUCUCGGGAGAAUUUUACCGAAAAAGUGAUUUUCGUGGGUGUUGGAAGUUGGCCUCGAGGGGGUUAGAAACUUUUUGGCAAAUUCCUCUGGAUAUCCCGCUGAGAAAAUGCCACGAGGGUGAUUUCCAAGGAGAAACUUUUUUGGCCGCCAUUUUGAUGAAGCCCCCAUGGCGUCUGUAAUUUUUUUUAAUAUUCUGGAAUUUACGGAAAUUCAUAUAUCACUUGAAAUAUAUGGUUCGCUGGGGCAUUUGCAGUUUUAUGGAUUUUUUUUCCUGAAUGGCAGUUAUAACUGAUAUUGCUGUGAAUGGGGUACAUGUACCUAACAAGAGGAGCAUACAUUUAAGCAGUCCAAGUUCCAGUUAAAGCAGUACCUUCAACUUUUCUGGAAAAUUUUGAUACUCAAAAAUUAAUGAUACUUUGCUACACUUAUCAGGGUACAUUUUGUGUCUAUGCAUUUAUUUGGUGAAAAAAGCUGGAAAAUUCCUGGGAAAACUGGAUUAUGGCUUGAAAAAUCUUUCAUCUAAUUUGAAGACAUUGUUGCAAUCAUAGUAAGUUUUUUUUAACAACAAAAAAUAAU